RNAcentral lists this non-coding RNA (52 nucleotides) under Roseivivax isoporae. Its description in RNAcentral is "Guanidine-II sequence". It matches the Rfam family "Guanidine-II riboswitch aptamer (mini-ykkC)". Rfam says of the family: Simpler in structure and has fewer highly conserved nucleotide positions than the ykkC-yxkD leader. Lineage: Bacteria; Pseudomonadati; Pseudomonadota; Alphaproteobacteria; Rhodobacterales; Roseobacteraceae. The record is from RNAcentral.
AGGCGGGGACGACCCCGCCCGGCCCUUGCGGUCGCCACGCGGGACGGCCCGA